UACGGAGGAUGCGAGCGUUAUCCGGAUUUAUUGGGUUUAAAGGGUGCGUAGGUUGUUUUUUAAGUCAGCGGUGAAAGUUUGUGGCUCAACCAUAAAAUUGCCGUUGAAACUGGAAGACUUGAGUGUGUUUGAGGUAGGCGGAAUGCGUGGUGUAGCGGUGAAAUGCAUAGAUAUCACGCAGAACUCCGAUUGCGAAGGCAGCUUACCAAGCUACUUCUGACGUUGAGGCACGAAAGCGUGGGGAGCAAACAGG
Molecule: ribosomal RNA, 253 nt
Filed under: uncultured Parabacteroides sp.
Lineage: Bacteria; Pseudomonadati; Bacteroidota; Bacteroidia; Bacteroidales; Tannerellaceae
Description: partial 16S ribosomal RNA
Rfam family: Bacterial small subunit ribosomal RNA
Source: RNAcentral